RNAcentral lists this ribosomal RNA (162 nucleotides) under uncultured bacterium. RNAcentral's name for it is "partial 16S ribosomal RNA". It matches the Rfam family "Bacterial small subunit ribosomal RNA", at positions 355 to 511 of the family's 1533-position model. The record is from RNAcentral.
UAGGGAAUCUUCCACAAUGGGCGAAAGCCUGAUGGAGCAACGCUGCGUGUGUGAUGAAGGCUUUCGGGUCGUAAAGCACUGUUGUAUGGGAAGAACAGCUAGAAUAGGAAAUGAUUUUAGUUUGACGGUACCAUACCAGAAGGGACGGCUAAAUCGCGCCAG